AUUGAACGCUGGCGGCACGCCUAACACAUGCAAGUCGAGCGGUAACAUGAUCUGUAGCGAUACAGAUUGAUGACGAGCGGCGGACGGGUGAGGAAAACGUAGGAGCCUGCCCUUGAGAGGGGGACAACCAAGGGAAACUUUGGCUAAUACCGCAUAAUCUCGAGAGAGGAAAGUUGCUCGCAAGGGUGACACUCGAGGAGGGGCCUGCGUCCGAUUAGCUAGUUGGAGAGGUAAGAGCUCCCCAAGGCGAUGAUCGGUAACUGGUCUGAGAGGACGACCAGUCACACUGGGACUGAGACACGGCCCAGACUCCUACGGGAGGCAGCAGUGGGGAAUAUUGGACAAUGGGGGCAACCCUGAUCCAGCGAUGCCGCGUGGGUGAAGAAGGCCUUCGGGUUGUAAAGCCCUUUAGGUUGGGAAGAAGGGUAUGGGUGGAAAUACUCAUACUUUGACGGUACCGACAGAAUAAGCACCGGCAAACUCUGUGCCAGCCGCCGCGGUAA
Molecule: ribosomal RNA, 503 nt
Filed under: uncultured bacterium
Lineage: Bacteria
Description: partial 16S ribosomal RNA
Rfam family: Bacterial small subunit ribosomal RNA
Source: RNAcentral